UUUUUGUCCAACAGUUUUGUGAAAAAAAUUAGCCAAUUUAUAUCAUGAAUGAAACUUGAAAAAUAUAAUGGGGGUUACUCCCUGCACCUCCCCAAUUCCAACCCCCACCCUCCAUUCCAUUUUUACCCUUUCCUCUAUCUUUUCUAUUCCAAUUUUAUCCUUUAGCAAAAAUUUAUAUUUAGAAAUACAAUUUUAUAAUUUUAUUCUCCCACCC
Molecule: long non-coding RNA, 214 nt
Filed under: Vigna radiata
Lineage: Eukaryota; Viridiplantae; Streptophyta; Magnoliopsida; Fabales; Fabaceae
Description: long non-coding RNA (VRAD_LNC011022)
Source: RNAcentral